This 253-nucleotide ribosomal RNA is filed under the name uncultured bacterium. Its description in RNAcentral is "partial 16S ribosomal RNA". It matches the Rfam family "Bacterial small subunit ribosomal RNA", at positions 524 to 776 of the family's 1533-position model. The record is from RNAcentral.
UACGGAGGGGGCUAGCGUUGUUCGGAAUUACUGGGCGUAAAGCGCACGUAGGCGGCUAUCCAAGUCAGAGGUGAAAGCCCGGGGCUCAACUCCGGAACUGCCUUUGAAACUGGCAAGCUUGAUCACGGGAGAGGCUAGUGGAAUUCCGAGUGUAGAGGUGAAAUUCGUAGAUAUUCGGAAGAACACCAGUGGCGAAGGCGACUGGCUGGACCGUAGAUGACGCUGAGGUGCGAAAGCGUGGGGAGCAAACAGG